AUUGAACGCUGGCGGCAUGCCUUACACAUGCAAGUCGAACGGCAGCACGGGAGCAAUCCUGGUGGCGAGUGGCGAACGGGUGAGUAAAGUAUCGGAACGUGCCCAGUCGUGGGGGAUAACGUAGCGAAAGUUACGCUAAUACCGCAUACGAUCUAUGGAUGAAAGCGGGGGAUCGCAAGACCUCGCGCGAUUGGAGCGGCCGAUAUCAGAUUAGGUAGUUGGUGGGAUAAAGGCUAACCAAGCCGACGAUCUGUAGCUGGUCUGAGAGGACGACCAGCCACACUGGGACUGAGACACGGCCCAGACUCCUACGGGAGGCAGCAGUGGGGAAUUGUGGACAAUGGGCGAAAGCCUGAUCCAUCCAUGCCGCGUGCAGGAUGAAGGCCUUCGGGUUGUAAACUGCUUUUGUACGGAACGAAAAGGUUUGGGCUAAUAAGCUGAGCUCAUGACGGUACCGUAAGAAUAAGCACCGGCUAACUACGUGCCAGCCGCCGCAGUAA
RNAcentral lists this ribosomal RNA (500 nucleotides) under uncultured bacterium. Its description in RNAcentral is "partial 16S ribosomal RNA". It matches the Rfam family "Bacterial small subunit ribosomal RNA", at positions 30 to 523 of the family's 1533-position model. The record is from RNAcentral.